RNAcentral lists this ribosomal RNA (492 nucleotides) under uncultured bacterium. Its description in RNAcentral is "partial 16S ribosomal RNA". It matches the Rfam family "Bacterial small subunit ribosomal RNA", at positions 29 to 507 of the family's 1533-position model. The record is from RNAcentral.
AGUGAACGCUGGCGGUAGGCCUAACACAUGCAAGUCGAACGGCAGCACAGUAAGAGCUUGCUCUUACGGGUGGCGAGUGGCGGACGGGUGAGGAAUACAUCGGAAUCUACUUUUUCGUGGGGGAUAACGUAGGGAAACUUACGCUAAUACCGCAUACGACCUACGGGUGAAAGCAGGGGAUCUUCGGACCUUGCGCGAUUGAAUGAGCCGAUGUCGGAUUAGCUAGUUGGCGGGGUAAAGGCCCACCAAGGCGACGAUCCGUAGCUGGUCUGAGAGGAUGAUCAGCCGCACUGGAACUGAGACACGGUCCAGACUCCUACGGGAGGGAGCAGUGUGGAAUAUUGGACAAUGGGCGCAAGCCUGAUCCAGCCAUACCGCGUGGGUGAAGAAGGCCUUCGGGUUGUAAAGCCCUUUUGUUGGGAAAGAAAAGCAGCAGGUUAAUACCCCGCUGUUCUGACGGUACCCAAAGAAUAAGCACCGGCUAACUUCGUG